GAUGAACGCUGGCGGCGUGCCUAAUACAUGCAAGUCGAGCGAACAGAUGAGGAGCUUGCUCCUCUGACGUUAGCGGCGGACGGGUGAGUAACACGUGGAUAACCUACCUAUAAGACUGGGAUAACUUCGGGAAACCGGAGCUAAUACCGGAUAAUAUAUUGAACCGCAUGGUUCAAUAGUGAAAGACGGUUUUGCUGUCACUUAUAGAUGGAUCCGCGCCGCAUUAGCUAGUUGGUAAGGUAACGGCUUACCAAGGCAACGAUGCGUAGCCGACCUGAGAGGGUGAUCGGCCACACUGGAGCUGGGACACGGUCCAGACUCCUACGGGAGGCAGCAGUAGGGAAUCUGCCGCAAUGGGCGAAAGCCUGACGGAGCAACGCCGCGUGAGUGAUGAAGGUCUUCGGAUCGUAAAACUCUGUUAUGAGGGAAGAACAAAUGUGUAAGUAACUAUGCACGUCUUGACGGUACCUAAUCAGAAAGCCACGGCUAACUACGUG
RNAcentral lists this ribosomal RNA (497 nucleotides) under uncultured bacterium. RNAcentral describes it as "partial 16S ribosomal RNA". It matches the Rfam family "Bacterial small subunit ribosomal RNA", at positions 28 to 507 of the family's 1533-position model. The record is from RNAcentral.